GAAGCCGAGGGAAGGGGAGGAGUUUCUCCAGCUCCGGUCUUUAAUGCCAGCAGCGAGGUGUCAGGGGGGACCUUCGCAGGAGCAUGAGAUGCCCUUACAGACGCUGCUCCCUUUCUCACUCUUCCGCCCUUUCAAAAAUAUCCGGAGCAUCCUGGGGGAGGGGGGGAGAAAGUUUCCUUCCCCUUGCCCAGCUCGGCCACACUCUCACCGAAAGAGAGAGAAAAAAAAAAAAAUAAAAAAACAAUCCCCCAAACACUCAAAGGCUACAAAACCCGAAAAGGGGAAGCGCUCGGGCGACGCUCCUGGCGGACUGGGGAGUCCCGCGGGGAGGGAGGGAGGGAGCGAAGGGGGGGCAGGAGGAUGGGAGGAGGUGCCCGGGCUCUCCGAGAGCCCCAGCAGGAUCCCCAGGAGCUGCGAAACGAGCACCACGCAACUUUCCCGCAGUCCGGCCGCUUCCCCCCGGCUGCCGCCCGCCCCGGGCCGCGCCGCCGGCCCCUCGGCGCGGGGAGAGCGGCUGGGGCUGUGCCUGCAUUCCCCGGGCUGCCGGAGCACGGAGGUUCCUACAGACUGUCAUGGAAGGAAACAGACCCAGAAAUGAAACAGGGACCAAUAUCACUGACACCAGCUCAGGAAGGGAUGUGGACAGAUCUUGCCCAUCUUGACAACUGAUCCUGGGUAUCAAAAAGUUUCAGAAGUCUUCAUUCAAAAUGAGCAGGCCCAUGGAAUGGGUUUAUUUGGUACACAGAAGGCCGUGGCAUGGACACUGGAGCAAGGAUUGGCAGGAGGCUCCACGUUUGGCAGCUGCAGUGCUUGUCUCACCGUGUCCCAUCUUCAUGGCUCCAGAACCACAAUCCCCACGAGGCUGCCCUCAUGCUGCACAGCACUGACCCCACAGGAAAUGCAGGCACAGGGAAUCAGAGGGUGCAUGGUGCUGUGACCUGAACCCCACUGUGUGGUGGCAUUAGUGCCAGCACUGUUCUGCAGACUGUGUCCACAGCUAAGUUCUGUUUUUCAUUUGUAUCACUUCACUGUAAGAGUAAAAUAUGAAUAAUACUCUCUGUCAUCUGUGCUAGAAAGCAUCUGGGAGACCUGACUAGGUACAAACAUGGAAAACACAUUUUCUUGUUUGAACCACAACACAUUGAUAAAAAACUUUGAGGCUGAUUUUCAAAGUUCACACAAUCUCUGCUGGUUCUGAGAGCCAGGAGAGCCUUCCAAAGAUUGAAGUACUUCAUGAGACAUUAUCUUUUUAUAUUGGUUUCUAUAUAUAAAAAAAUUUCCAUUAACUGUAAUGAUGCUGUUCAGCCUCAAGUAUUCUUAGUACUUAAGAGUCAUGAAGAAGCAAUGAAAAAUACUUUUUAAAGUAGCUAAUUUCCUCCUUACUGAUACAGGAAAAUUUCUUUUGUGUUUUCUACUGAUUGUGAGUCAGAAUUUCUGGCUGUUAGCCAAACACAAUACUUGGAACCUCUGAUUUGCAUAUGUAGGCCUACAAGUUAGACAGAUAACCUCAAUCAAAAUUUAACAGAUUAUAUGCAAAACCAGUGAGAAAAGAUUCAUUUCCCAUAUUGAGUGAUUUUUGUCAGUUGUGCAAAUUAACACAGAGAAUUACAGAUAGAAUUCAAGAGGAGUCUGCUUUUCAUUUGCUUUUCCAAUAAUAUGCAUAAUGCAGUACAUUAGCUAAAAGAAUGUUUAAAGGAGGCAGAGACAUGGUUCUACCAGGUAUGUGUGGGCAUAAGAACAAAAAGUGUUUUCAGCAGCAUGAAUCUGAAAGUACUUCCAUGUUCUUCCCAGUUCACUGUGAAGAUUUCAGAGAGCUGAAGAAUUACAAACACACUUUCUGUGAGCCUUCUCUGUGUGAUAAUAUCAAUUUAUUCCUUGGCAUGGAGUGUGCUUGGCUUCAGACAGGACAGUGGGCAGGAACAGCAUUUUCCUUCUGGAGUGGAGGGGGUGAGACUGCUCCAAACCAACAGUCUGUCAUUGCUUGGUGGUGCAGAUGCAAAAAGAGGUGAGCUUUCCAAAGCAAUCAUAAGCAGUCGAUUCCAGGAUGGUCUGUAAGAUCUCAAAGAAAAUAAAUUUUGCAUAAUUAGCUUCAAUUUUGUUAUGCUGCAAGGUACUGGUGGCACAGUGUCCCAGAACACACCUGUAGCAGUGUUCUCCACUUGACCUCCAGCCAAAGCCAGUGGCAAGAUUCCCUUUAGGGAGGGCAAAAUUGCAACAAUUGUGAAACAAUCCAAAUAUCUUCUUUCACCUGGUAGUAACUAAUAAUAGGAGAGCCCUAGAAAUCCCAUUAUAUGUGAAGAAUCAAUGAGAAGGUGAUAGUUUAUGGGUGAGACAGAGGACUGAAUAAGAUCAGGAAGAAAGAGCAGAAUUAUAUAAAACCUGCACAAUAUGAUAUAAAUUAAUGUGAAUUAUAUAAAACCUCUGCACAAUGGCUUCCAAAGGAUCAGAAUGCACUGAAACUUUUCUUGGCUACACCUUGGUAUCCAGGACCUGUGGAUAUCACAAUGUGUGCAACAAGAACCAAACAUCUGAAAGGAUGAGAGGUGAAUGGCAACUCCUGCUUGUUUUCAUAAAUGAAUUGUAUUUCUCUUGUACUGAGAGCACAGUCUUAACUAGGCUUGUCUGCAACAGUGCAAACAUCUUAUUUGAUCCCAGGUAUCUAAUCUAUGUAAUUGAGGUGCUGCAGGAUUUGUUUUUCUGCUUCUCCAUGUGUGAUGGGCACAGACAAGCAUGAUGAGCAGGUCUUCAGUGUGAAUUCAUGCAGAGCCAAGAUGACAUCUCCCCAGGACAAAAGGUGACGUGUAGGAAAGGUGGCUCAGAACUGUCAUCUCCACCAGCAAACCAGAGCACCAGAGCACAGGCCUGAGCAGUGUCCUGGACCUGUCCUAAUUGUUGAACUGUUCUCAGUCCCUGCAGAGCUUUGGCUCAGGCUGUCUGCAGCUCUCCAAGAGCCAAGGCAUGGUUCAGGAAUUAACACCAGUCAGGGAGCAUUGCCAGGAGGAAGCCUGGUCAUGGCUGCCCUGUCUGACAGGUGAGAGUUUUCCUAAAAGCCUUGCUGUACCAUCUGAGAUCUGCAGCUCAGACCUGUGCCAAGAGGAUGGAAAUGUCAGAUCCUGGCUUCCCAGCAUGCCUGGGCUCUCUGAAAACUAAACUACAGUUGUUCCUCAGUCUUUUCAAUGCUUGUCAGCAGACCACUUCCAUAGGAGGAGACCAACACAGUUCCCUCUAUACUGCUCCUGCUUUGGCAGAAAAUGAGCUGUACAAGGAGGAAUCUCAGAUGUGCAGUGAUGAAGGUAACAAGGGUCAUGAUUAUUGGCAAAUCAUUCUGACACAUUAAUGGUGAGGGAUUUAUCCAGUUAAAGACUGCAGAUUGUACAUUACCAUAGCAUUGAGUAAUUACAAAAUAAGUAUAUAUAUAUAUAUAUAUAACAUAGCAAGUGCAGAUUUAACAAAUUUAACAAAUGCAGUCAGAUUCUAAAGCCAGGAGAAUCUGACUAACAGUGUUAGAAAAUGGUGAAAAUGUCCAUAAGGAAAGGUUUAUGAUAACAAAAUUUCAAGUCAGGAAGAACUUUUGUUUCAAAAUAUCUCAAAAUAAUUUUAUUUUUAUUAUUUUUCUUAAGAAGAGGGUCUAAAAUCUUAUCAGAAGAGCUUUGGAAGCAACAAACAUCUAAAAAUGACCCUAGAAUAUAGAAGUGGUCCCCACAAUGAAUCCAAAGAGUUCCCAAAAAUAGUUAAUGUAAUUCAGUGUAGCUUCAUUAAGAUUAUUAUUUUGUUCUCAUCUAAAAUUUUGAUUAUGUCUUAUUAUGCAAAGUACCUGGACUUUAGAGUCUUUAAAUGAAAAAUUGCAAAGUAACAUUAAAGAGAUGUGCAAGCUCAGGGAAACGAUUGAAAAAAUCAUAAAGUCCUGUAUCAGGUGAGAUGCAAUUGAUUUCUGUUUCUGCAAGCACCUCUGUAAGCUUCAUGGAUGACAGAAAGGGUAUAAUCUUGACUUUAUGGUCUUCUAACUAAACACAAAUGUAUUUUAUUUCCUGGUGUGCAUAAAAAACGUGGGUGGGAAAUGUGGGAGGCUCUCUUAAGCUGAGUGAAAUAUGUUCUUUAUGCCCAGCAUUACUGUGGUCACUCAAAACCCAUUUCCACUGGGAGCUGACCAUGAGCUGAGUGGUCCCAAGAGCCUCAGUGCUACACUCCAUGGGUUUUGCUAAGAUGCUUUGGGACCACAACAGCUUGAGGGAAAGGAGGGGACAGGAGUCAUCCUCCUGUCAAAUUUCCUCAUGCCCAUCCACACUGCUCCUGAUGGCACGAGGCUCAUCAUGUGGAAGAUAUUUUUAUUGCACAGUAGUAAGCUUCACUGAGCAUUAUUCUACUAUCUGAAAUAAUGAAAUUAUCAGUUAUUCCAGAUUAUCAGUGAUGAAUAUCUGAGCUGGUGUUUAAUAUCUAGAAGAUUAUAAUGACAAGCAUUUUGUGUCUGGGAGCUUCAAAUCAGGACUGUAACACAUUUGUAUUUUGACUGCAUAUACUACAACAGUAAUUAAAUUAUGUAUAACUAAUUAAGACUAUAGGAGGACCACCCAUAUGUAAACCCCACCAUAAACAGGUCUAAUUUUAUACCAUAUUAAUAUGGUAUAUAUAUAUAUAUAUACAUAUAUCUGCUGAUAUGCAGGCAUAAACAUAUGUGGCACAUAUAUCUCAAACCAGUCUCGAGCAUUCCAUAUGAAAUUUGCUGGAAGUAGGCCAUUAAUUACUAAAGCUGAGGCUAAUCCUGCAAUCUUAUCAUAACAGAAGUUUUGUUUUCAUCAGGCCUUCAGGAUCCAUAUUCAACAAAUAUUAUUUCACUGCCAAAAUAAAAUAUAAAAUACUUGGUACAACGUGGUUGAUUUAAUGGAAUAAUCGAAUGUCACUCUUGGGCCGUUAAUACUCAGAAUUUACUUUUUGGUGUUUGGAAAAUAUUUAUGCUAUAUGUGAGGUUUGCUGUCAUUCAGCUCAUCAGCAAGACUUCCACUCCUGGGAGUGGAAACUCCAUUUAUUUUAAGGUUUUUGAAGAUAAAGGAACAACUUUUGCCAUUCAUGUCUGCAGAAUCUGACAGUAAUCCCUCAGCAAAAGGCUUAGUCCCACCAGAGCACCCAUGUCCCAUAAAAUUAGGGCAAAUUCAGGAAAAAUAUUUUUUGUGCAUUCUGCUCAUUAACACUAAAAGAGAAGCUGAGGGAAUCCCAAUACCCAGACAAGUACACAUCAAAGGUCACACAAAUAUUUAUCACCAAAUCACACAAAAAAUUAAAGCUGCAAUGGUAAAGUUGAGUGGAUGAUACAAUUUUCUUAUCCAUAAAAAAUUAUGUUCCUCAUUAAUUCUUUUCACAGUAAAGCUGUUUCAUUAUUUAUCCUCUGGGUAAGCAAUUAGUAGCAAUGUUGCUCCUGGGUAGUAUGUGCUGAAUUUCUCUUUAAUAUCUGCUAUGAGAGACUACAUAUUUCAGGCUGCAAAAGUAAAAUUAAAAGAAAGUCCCAAAACUGAAGAGUUGCUCUAAGCAAAUAAAUAGCUCUUGGUUUCAAAGGAGUGCUGGGCAGGAGGAAACAUGUACUUUUUCCUUGAAGAAAACUGGAGAGCACUGGAAUUACAGAUUUAUAAGCUCUUUCAAAAAACAUCAGCCUGACUCUGAGAGUGUUCUCUGCCAAAUCAAUUUAGCUAAAAUUUAAAAUUGCUGUAAGAAAAAACUUUUAAAAAAUCCCUGUAAUGAAAACAUUUAGAAUUGGAAGAGGUUUCUUAUGGAUAAGAGCAAGUAAGUUCUGGAAUAGAUUUCCAAAGAGAAACAGGGGCAAAAAAGAUAAUGGCCAUAUAUUAACAAAAGGGAUUAUAUUCAGUAUGAUAAUAGGGUUAAUAACAGGUGAUUGGAAUAUGUUCCCACCCAAAAUGUAAAUGUUAAUCUGAGAAUUAGGCCAAAUGAGGUAUGACUACUAAAAGAUUGGUGUCUAAUUCUCAGCUGGAUACCAGGGCUGGGUCUGCCCUGUCCUUACAUUGUUUAAAUAUCAACCCCCAGCUUAACUCA
This is a long non-coding RNA of Passer domesticus (house sparrow), 6039 nucleotides long. RefSeq lists it as uncharacterized. NCBI's taxonomy places the organism in Eukaryota, Metazoa, Chordata, Aves, Passeriformes, Passeridae. The record is from RefSeq and is a predicted model, not a curated record. The transcript is spliced from 3 exons.